GCUCUCCGAACCAAAAGGCGACCUCACGAAAUGCCCCUUUGAGCUCAAAGGCUAGUUACCCCCAGGGGCCCUUCCACUCUCGAGGACAGGCAAAACCUCUUUGUCUCUGCUUCGGCCCGCGGCCCCCAGCCCAGCCUCCGCGCUUUCGCUCCGCCAGUCCUUGUCAAUCAAACCUGAUGCCAAACGCGGCAGCUGAAGUUUUCAGGGACACAUUUGCUUCUCCCCUUGAAGAACCAAUUACAAAGCCUGAUUUCCUCUCUGGGGUCCCAUCAGAACAAAGAAACAGGUCUAAAGACCCUCAUUCCAGACAGCAUCCUGCCCCAUACCCAGAAUGAAAUCCAUGCUCAGAGAUGCAAAGAAGAAUCUAGACAGACAGGCCUUUCUCGAUCUGUGGGAACAUCUAAAGACCCUGUA
This 414-nucleotide non-coding RNA is filed under the name Pongo abelii (Sumatran orangutan). The record is from RNAcentral. Lineage: Eukaryota; Metazoa; Chordata; Mammalia; Primates; Hominidae.